This 212-nucleotide unclassified non-coding RNA is filed under the name uncultured Polyporaceae. RNAcentral's name for it is "sequence contains ITS1". Lineage: Eukaryota; Fungi; Basidiomycota; Agaricomycetes; Polyporales; Polyporaceae. The record is from RNAcentral.
UCGAGUUUUUGAAAAAGGUUGUAGCUGGCCUUUCGAGGCAUGUGCACGCCUUGCUCAAUCUCAACCUUUUUAACACCUGUGCACAUUGUGUAGGUUGGUUAGCGAAGAGGAAAUAUAUAUUGUUUCUUCGGAGUGAUUACCUUCCUAUGUCUUAUUAUAAACUCUUGAUGUAUUUGAAUGUAUUUUGCGCUUUAUAACGCACUAUAUAAAUA